GGUGAGAGGGAGGAUUGAUUUGUCAUGGCCAGUUGAGGAUGGAAGCCCAGGAUUUCCACAUGAUCUCCAUUGGCACAACAGGUGUGACCCUAUUACUGCUCAUUGAAGAUGAAAGUUCUGCCUCCUGACUCAGCCUUUUCUGACACCACCCUGAAGGGAGCAUUAAGGUUUCUACUUCUGGCUGUAGUGGAGUAUGUGGUUUCAACCAGUCUUCUCUCAUUGAACAACUAGACAAGCCAGACAAAAUAUUUUAAUGUAUUUUCUUGAAGAUUGUUUGAAGGCUUUAGCGAGCAACUGAGGCUGUGAAGAAUUGUCAGACCAAGGUCCAGGAAAGAAGAAAAGUCUCAAAAGGAGAUGGAUCUACUAAAAUAUGUUCAGGUUGCCAGUUACAUCUUACAGAAAAAGAAAGGAAGAAAGAAAAAGAAAUGCAAAUGCAAUGGAAUAAAAGGAAAGAAAAGAGAAGUCUCAGAAGGAAAGAUCAGAGAAAGGGAAGAAGACUGAAGUAAUACACUUUAAUAUCCUGUCUUUUCAACACAUUUUUUUUGUUCAAUGUCUCUGAGCCCUUCAUUUUUCUAGCCACAGUGUACUGUUGUUGCCAAACUUUCUCCAUAAUUCAGCUAAAAUCAGAAUCUCAUCACAAGACAGGGAAAGAUUAGGCUCACAAACACAUGGAAGGGUGAGGAAAAUUGAAUUUAUUUGAUGAAAAGGAAAAAGAAAGGAAAACCCUCAGCAAAGGGAAAGGGGGUCUUGCCAAUGACUUCUACCUCAUAGAUUGAAUACCAAGUCCCCACACAGGAACAGCAGAGGCCAGGCUCCUCCCUCCUGCAAAUGGUGCGAAUUUCCUGAGGCUCCACCCGCUCCUCCUAGUGAGCAGGUGGACAUUAUUCACGAAGAAUCAGUUGAGAAAGGUUGAGCUUCAUGUGGGACCAGCAGUCCAUUCUUUUAACCUUCAGGCUGUUUUAGGCUUGAAAGUGGGGUUUCCCAGGGGCCCUUGGCUGCCUCCUGUCUCUAUCACUGUUUUCAUAAACUUUUAUAAAUUUUAUAAACUUUAAAAAGUUGGAGUAUGUAUGUACAUAUCAUAUGUGCAUGUACAUAAAAUACAUAUAUAUAUCAUAUGUACAUGUACAUAAAAUACACAUGUACAUAUACAAAUCUAUGUAAACAUAUGUGACAUAUUAUACAUUCUGUAUUAUAAAUUUAUAAAAUAUACACACAUAAUACACAAACACACACGCACUAACGCAAAGUCACAAAUCCUAAGUGCACAUCUUGCUUAAUUAUCACAAA
This is a long non-coding RNA of Homo sapiens (human), 1287 nucleotides long. The record is from Ensembl. Lineage: Eukaryota; Metazoa; Chordata; Mammalia; Primates; Hominidae.